UACAGAGGGUGCAAGCGUUGUUCGGCAUUAUUGGGCGUAAAGCGCGUGUAGGCGGCUUUGCAAGUCGGGUGUGAAAGCCCUCAGCUCAACUGAGGAAGUGCGCCCGAAACUGCAGAGCUUGAGUGCCGGAGAGGGUGGCGGAAUUCCCCAAGUAGAGGUGAAAUUCGUAGAUAUGGGGAGGAACACCGGUGGCGAAGGCGGCCACCUGGACGGUAACUGACGCUUAGACGCGAAAGCGUGGGGAGCAAACAGG
RNAcentral lists this ribosomal RNA (253 nucleotides) under uncultured bacterium. RNAcentral's name for it is "partial 16S ribosomal RNA". It matches the Rfam family "Bacterial small subunit ribosomal RNA", at positions 524 to 776 of the family's 1533-position model. The record is from RNAcentral.